This 69-nucleotide transfer RNA is filed under the name Centipeda noxia. It matches the Rfam family "tRNA". From Rfam's summary of the family: Transfer RNA (tRNA) molecules are approximately 80 nucleotides in length. Lineage: Bacteria; Bacillati; Bacillota; Negativicutes; Selenomonadales; Selenomonadaceae. RNAcentral also lists the same sequence under 2 other names. The record is from RNAcentral.
GGAUGUAGCGCAGUUUGGUAGCGCGCUUGCUUUGGGAGCAAGAUGUCGCAGGUUCGAAUCCUGUCAUCC